GCCUCCGUGGCGCAAUCGGCUAGCGCGUUCGGCUGUUAACCGAAAGGUUGGAGCUUCAAGCCCUCCCGGGGGCG
RNAcentral lists this transfer RNA (74 nucleotides) under Dermacentor andersoni. RNAcentral's name for it is "transfer RNA asparagine (anticodon GUU)". It matches the Rfam family "tRNA". Rfam says of the family: Transfer RNA (tRNA) molecules are approximately 80 nucleotides in length. Their secondary structure includes four short double-helical elements and three loops (D, anti-codon, and T loops). The record is from RNAcentral. Lineage: Eukaryota; Metazoa; Arthropoda; Arachnida; Ixodida; Ixodidae.